AGCAUGAAGCUUUGGGUGGACAUCUACAUAGAAGCCAUAACAGUUUGUUAUCCCAGGUAUAAGAUGAAGAUUCAGAAAUGAAGAUAUUUUAAGACACUUGUCAUGAGGGCCAGGGAUAUAACUCAGCAGCACAAGUGCUUACCUGGUAAGUGCAAGGUCCUGAGUUUGUCUCCCGGUACGUGAAAAGGAAAAAAAGAACCCAGAAAUUUGUCCUGAACAUGAAUGUGGUAAUGAUAGAACCUGCGUUCAAGCACUAGCAGUGAUGCGUAACUGUUUCAUUCCAUGCUUCUGCUGUUAAUAGUGGAACUCAUGAUCUUCAAAGGUGCAGACGUGCUUAUUUAACCUUAGAAAGCAACAGCUAUUCUUAUGAUGCAUUAGUUAUAAAAUUAAUAGAAACAUGACAGAUUUGCUGUAGGCAUUAAUAAUGACAUUGGAUACUUUAAGUUUUUUAUUAGGUAUUUUGCACAUGAUUAUUUUACCUUAAUCUGUAUUUCUCUCACUCACGGAUAGUGUUGACGUGCUGUGUUCAUCCUGUUCUUUAAAGUAGGUCUCGGCGAAUUUUUCUCUGGAAGUCUCUAGUGUGUACAUUGAGGCUUUGUGGACCAUCAUGUUUACAACUCGAGCACAUGAAUAGCCAUAAACAUUACAUUAAAUAUGUGCGAAUAUUUGCCAAUAGAACUUUACUUACAAAUCAGAUCUGCGCUGGGAAGGCCCAGAAGUUAGUGGUGGAAUCUAGGAAGUCUGUGCCAGCAGGAUGAAGGAUCUGUGCUAGCAGGUGGAGGGAUCUGCACUGGAGCCAGGAAGCCACUUGCAAGGUAAGAAUCAGAGCUCCUCUGAAAAGUACCACAGCCAUCCUCAGCAACAGUGAAGUCCCAAGCUCCUCUGAUGAGCAAGAUAGCCGAGUUCCCAUCAGGGAAGCCAACUCCACAAGCUUCUCCAGGAGAGUGGCAGUGCACCAUCUUCCUCUCCAGAGCCAGGAAGUGAUGCUCAGAGUGAGGACCAGAGCUCCCCCAAAGUGAACUGAAGCUAUUCUCAUUGGCCACAAGGUCCGGAGCUCCUUGGAGGAUGAAAAUAGCCCAGUUCAUCAGGAAAGCCAGCAUGACAAGGUCCUCCAACAGAACCUGACAGCUUCUACCAGCUCCCAACAGCCUCUCUCAGCUUGCAAACAGCCUUUUUCUCCUUCUCCAGGUCUGCCUCUUAUGCUGCUGGCAACAGUCCUCAGGGGGGCCUCCCACACCCAGCAGCACACUUACUCAUUUCAGCUGGGGUUAUAAGUUGACCCCCAGUUGUCAAUCUGCUACAGAGCCAGCUGAUUAUGGACUGAAACCUCCACAAACUAUAAGCUAAAUCAACCUUUCC
Molecule: long non-coding RNA, 1359 nt
Filed under: Chinchilla lanigera (long-tailed chinchilla)
Lineage: Eukaryota; Metazoa; Chordata; Mammalia; Rodentia; Chinchillidae
Description: lncRNA (ENSCLAG00000023491.1)
Source: RNAcentral